Molecule: long non-coding RNA, 1717 nt
Organism: Lotus japonicus
Lineage: Eukaryota; Viridiplantae; Streptophyta; Magnoliopsida; Fabales; Fabaceae
Exons: 3
Source: RefSeq, a predicted model, not a curated record
GGUAAUGUUGCUGAGGGAUGAUGGUGAGGAAGAAGAGAUUGAGACACUAGAGCCUCUCACUGAAGAAAUUGAGGAAGCUAUGGAGUUAAAGCACUUGUCACUAAACAGUAUACAGGGAAUUUCUUCAAGGAAAUCUCUCAGGUUGUGUUUGGAUGGGGUGAUUUUUGGGGGGAAUGUAAUUCUAGAGGGUAUUUUAAAUCCCUUAAAUUGAAAUACCUUGUUUGGAUAUUUAUUUGUGGAAUUCUGAAAAUACUGGUAAUUAAAAGAGGUAAUUUAAUGAAGGGAUUAUGGGGUAAUCAAAAUACCCUCAAAAUUGGAAGUAAUUGGAAAAUCCCUCACUGGCUCGUGUCUCUCACUCUCUCGUUCUCGCUCCCAAUCUCACUCUCGCUCCCGAUCUCAACCUCUCUGCGAUCUCGUUCUCUCGUUCUCGCUCUCCCGAUCUCACUCUCCCGAUCUCGCUCUUUCGUUCUCGCUCCCGAUCUCAACCUCUCUGCGAUCUCGUUCUCUCGUUCUCGCUCUCCCGAUUCAUGGAGUGGCUCUUUCUUCCCUCUUCAUUCAGGCUACUGCUAUAAGUGGAUACACUAGCAACUCUGCUUCUGCCAAGAAGUGCAGAAAGAAGAAGGUAAAAAAUAUAGGAUUUACUGGCGUUUUCAGGUUGAUUUUUAAGCCGCUAGUUAAUGAAUUUCCUGGCUUUGCAGCAGUAUGUUAUUCAUUGAGGCAGAAGGUAGGUUACCUCUUCUUAAAACAUUAAUUUCCCACUUGUUUCAGUGCCCCUACAUUGGAGCAGUAUGCUUGUUCUUUUCUUUCUUUUUGGGGUGACUUAUCAAAUGAUAUAUUUGUAGAACUCGGAUUGGGUGGUUAACUGUUUACUAAAUUUUGUUGCUUCCUAAUUUUAUGAUUAGUAAAGGCUUGUGAUCAUUUGAGGAAGCAUGUUAACUUGAAGAUGUUACAAAUAGGUGUAUGUAACAUAAGCAUUUAAUUUAGGAGUUUGAGGAUGAUAUACUGCCAAGUGCCAACUGAAGAUGAGUGCUAGGUAGUUUUAGAAUACUUGCUGGGAUUUCGUUUCAUUUUGUGUGCCCUGAUAAUUUCUAUGACUUGUAGUAGGACUACUUCACCUUCUAGAGCUUAGAAUAAUUGGUAGUAACUAGUUAGUCCGAUAAUCUGAACCAGGUAAAAUAUCUUAAUCCAAACCUGCUUUGCUUCUGAAAAUCUGAUAUGGAAUUUGUUAUUUCUUGCUUGUCAAAAGUCAUGCUCAUAAUUUAUCAGCAAAAAGAAUUUAUGGAGUAAAGGAGAUUUUAUUACAUUUUCAUUGCUGUGGUUAUUCCGGAAUAGAUUCAAUUUAGUUGGAAAAGAGGUCCAUCAACUCUGCUAUUAUGUCCAAGUUUAGUUUUAUAAUCUGCACAGAGAUAAGACUUGCAGCUUAUAGUCUGAAUUGAUUUUAGAACAUUUCAUCAUAAAACCAAACACAUAUAUAUGUUUUAAUCACAUCUUAUUAUAUGAGCUUUUUAAUCACAUCUUAUCCAUUUUUAUGUUUAAACUAGCUGAUUUUGAAUCUGAUUGAGUUAGCUUCUCUUACUUCCUAUUUUCUUUAUAGUGUCAUGCAAUAUUGAUGUUUUAUUAUAUGUUUUUUUUAGUUAACAAAUGGAUCUUAGAGUAGUUGACACUUCAGUUCUUUUACGAAAACGUAAAAGAAAUGAAGAAGAAGAAGAGGCAAAAU